Molecule: unclassified non-coding RNA, 246 nt
Filed under: plant metagenome
Description: partial contains small subunit ribosomal RNA, internal transcribed spacer 1, and 5.8S ribosomal RNA
Rfam family: Eukaryotic small subunit ribosomal RNA (bases 1-54)
Source: RNAcentral
GGAAGUAAAGGUCGUAACAAGGUCUCCGUUGGUGAACCAGCGGAGGGAUCAUUACAGGACUCGCAAGACUCCUACAACCCUGUGAACUUAACUAUAAGCACGUUGCUUCGGCGGGUGUCUCGGAGGGGGUUCUCCCUCCCCGAGACGCUAAACCCGCCGGCAGCCUACUAUACUCUGUCUCCUUGCGUUGGCAUCUCGAGUACAAUCAAACAAGUUAAAACUUUCAACAACGGAUCUCUUGGUUCU